RNAcentral lists this ribosomal RNA (256 nucleotides) under uncultured bacterium. RNAcentral's name for it is "partial 16S ribosomal RNA". It matches the Rfam family "Bacterial small subunit ribosomal RNA", at positions 337 to 585 of the family's 1533-position model. The record is from RNAcentral.
GCCUACGGGACGCAGCAGUAGGGAAUCUUCCACAAUGGACGAAAGUCUGAUGGAGCAACGCCGCGUGAGUGAAGAAGGGUUUCGGCUCGUAAAGCUCUGUUGGUAGUGGAGAAAGAUAGAGGUAGUAACUGGCCUUUAUUUGACGGUAAUUACUUAGAAAGUCACGGCUAACUACGUGCCAGCAGCCGCGGUAAUACGGAGGUGGCAAGCGUUUGCCGGAUUUAUUGGGCGUAAAGCGAGUGCAGGCGGGUCCAUA